RNAcentral lists this small RNA (850 nucleotides) under Rattus norvegicus (Norway rat). RNAcentral describes it as "uncharacterized LOC102548409". Lineage: Eukaryota; Metazoa; Chordata; Mammalia; Rodentia; Muridae. The record is from RNAcentral.
GAAAACAAACAAGCAAACAAGCAAACAAACCAGCCAGUGGGGCAGGUAGCCUGUCAACCCAGCACUCUGGAGACAGCGCUUUGAAGAUCACUGAUCAGUCUGCUACGUUCCAGGCCAGAGACCCAAGAAAAUAGAAAAGACACAAAAGAAAGAAGAUGGAUGUUACCUGAGGAAUGCUGCCUGAGGUGACCAAAAUUUAUGACAUGGCCACCCAUGACUUCACAGAGUGAAAAAAGCACAUACAGUCUUACUGUCUGAGAGGAGUGAAGAUUGUUUGAGGGCACAAAGGACAAUGACGGAGAAAGAACGUGCUAAGAAAAAGUGUUUCCUGAAGCCUCUGCCCUUUGCCUCGUGUGGAAGCUUCUGUCUCCCAGGCUGAGCACCUCGUGGGCGGCAAGCGCUCAACACUUCAUGGAUAUUAUUUCUGAUCCACACGACAUCCUGUUAGGUAGAUACUGUUGUUACCUUCCGCGCACAGAUGAAGUUACUGAGGACCAGAAAGGUCUUGUGGUUGCCAGAGGCAGAUGGCACAGGGAGUGAAAAAUGAUGCUUGCGAAGCCCUCAGGUCAGCUUGAUUCCGGAGACUGUGUUCUUUGGUUCCCUGGAGGAGGAUGCCCAAUAUGACCGACAGCACUCCUGUUGUAACAGAAGGACCCUGAGCUUCAAAAUAUGGAGACCUGCUUCAGCCAGUUCUACAGGGAUGAGAGAGAAAGGGGGAAAUUACUUAGAAUGGCACCAACUAGAGAGAACCCCUAAUAUUUUAGGCAUGCCCUUGCUAAUUUGUAACCUGCUUCUUCAAAUAACAAUGCAUCCUGUGCUCUUUUCCAAUAAAGAGAGCUGUGGUUUUUAA